AUAUUUACUUGGCAGGGGAGAUACCACAACUACGAAGGUGGUUUUCCCAGGGCAAGAUUUAUCCAUUGCAUUCUGGGUGUGUUGACCCCUGUGAUUUCCCCAGAUACGGGAAACUUGAAUGCAUAAUUUGUGGUAGUGGUUUGUGCUCUCCCUGAA
Small nuclear RNA from Octodon degus (degu), 156 nucleotides. Its record names the gene U1. It matches the Rfam family "U1 spliceosomal RNA". Rfam says of the family: U1 is a small nuclear RNA (snRNA) component of the spliceosome (involved in pre-mRNA splicing). Its 5' end forms complementary base pairs with the 5' splice junction, thus defining the 5' donor site of an intron. There are significant differences in sequence and secondary structure between metazoan and yeast U1 snRNAs, the latter being much longer (568 nucleotides as compared to 164 nucleotides in human). Lineage: Eukaryota; Metazoa; Chordata; Mammalia; Rodentia; Octodontidae. The record is from Ensembl.